RNAcentral lists this ribosomal RNA (1456 nucleotides) under metagenome. RNAcentral describes it as "bacterial SSU rRNA". It matches the Rfam family "Bacterial small subunit ribosomal RNA". The record is from RNAcentral.
AGAGUUUGAUCCCGGCUCAGAAUCAACGCUGGCGGCGCGCUUAACACAUGCAAGUCGAACGAGAAAGGGAGCAAUCCUGAGUAAAGUGGCGUACUGGUGAGUAACACGUGGAUAUCUACCUCCUGGUGGGGAAUAACCUGGGGAAACCUGGGCUAAUACCGCAUAAGUUCGAGAGAAGAAAGGCGCAAGUCGCCGGGAGAGGAGUCCGCGGUCGAUUAGGUAGUUGGCGGGGUAAAAGCCCACCAAGCCAAAGAUCGAUAGCCGGCCUGAGAGGGCACACGGCCACACUGGCACUGAAACACGGGCCAGACUCCUACGGGAGGCAGCAGUGGGGAAUCUUGCACAAUGGGGGAAACCCUGAUGCAGCGACGCCGCGUGAGCGAUGAAGCCCUUCGGGGUGUAAAGCUCUUUCGGCAGGAACGAUAAUGACGGUACCUGCAGAAGAAGCUGCGGCUAACUACGUGCCAGCAGCCGCGGUAAUACGUAGGCAGCGAGCGUUGUUCGGAAUUACUGGGCGUAAAGAGUGUGUAGGUGGUGUCGUAAGUUUGGUGUGAAAUCUCCCGGCUCAACUGGGAGGGUGCGCCGAAGACUGCGAUGCUGGAGUAUGGGAGAGGAAAGCGGAAUUCCUGGUGUAGCGGUGAAAUGCGUAGAUAUCAGGAGGAACACCUGCGGUGUAGACGGCUUUCUGGACCAUUACUGACACUGAGACACGAAAGCGUGGGUAGCAAACAGGAUUAGAUACCCUGGUAGUCCACGCCGUAAACUAUGAAUGCUAGCCGUCGGACAGCUUGCUGUUCGGUGGCGCACCUAACGGAUUAAGCAUUCCGCCUGGGGAGUACGGUCGCAAGAUUAAAACUCAAAGGAAUUGACGGGGGCCCGCACAAGCGGUGGAGCAUGUGGUUUAAUUCGAAGCAACGCGAAGAACCUUACCAGCCCUUGACAUGGCAGGACGACUUCCGGAGACGGAUUUCUUCCCUUCGGGGACCUGCACACAGGUGCUGCAUGGCUGUCGUCAGCUCGUGUCGUGAGAUGUUGGGUUAAGUCCCGCAACGAGCGCAACCCUCGCCCUUAGUUGCCAUCAUUAAGUUGGGCACUCUAAGGGGACUGCCGGUGAUAAGCCGCGAGGAAGGUGGGGAUGACGUCAAGUCCUCAUGGCCCUUACGGGCUGGGCUACACACGUGCUACAAUGGCGGUGACAGUGGGCAGCAAAGGGGCGACCCCGAGCUAAUCUCAAAAAGCCGUCUCAGUUCGGAUUGCACUCUGCAACUCGAGUGCAUGAAGUUGGAAUCGCUAGUAAUCGUGGAUCAGCACGCCACGGUGAAUACGUUCCCGGGCCUUGUACACACCGCCCGUCACACCAUGGGAGUUGGCUUUACCCGAAGGUGGUGCGCUAACCCGCAAGGGAGGCAGCCAACCACGGUAGGGUCAGCGACUGGGGUGAAGUCGAAACAAGGUA